UGCAACAGUGGAAUCCUGGAAGACAGGCUGCAGAGUGUCACCUCAGCUGCUGAAAUGGGGUUGUGGAGUGCAUCACCCCUGUGAAACUUCUGGGCAAGGCAACAGCUGAACAGCCACAGGCCUCUCCCAGACUACUGAAGGGAGAUCACCACAGAGAGAAACUGAGAAUGUGCCCUGAGAACAGGCACCUCCACAAGGAGAGAGAAAAGCCCAGGAGGGGCAGAGCCAGCGUUACCAGCAAACAAAUCACUCCUUCUCUCUUGGGCAGGGGCAAGGUCAGUGGCUGAGAGAGUCUAAGAAACUCUACUCAAGCGGAGCUGCCCAUCAAGGACAUCUAAGACUGAUGAAGGGGAAUUCUUUCAAACAUUCUCCACUAGUCACUACAACUUGAAAAGACUUAAAACAUUAAGACAGACAGUGAAAGUUAAAGGUGGCAUCAAAAACGUACUUUACUGUGUGUGUGCUUAUGUGUGUGCAUAUGCAUGCGUAUCCCUUCCAUCACGUUCAUCAAACCUCUGUAAAAGCAGUCCUAUUAAAAUAUUGUCACUUAAGGCCUGGG
This 559-nucleotide long non-coding RNA is filed under the name Homo sapiens (human). RNAcentral describes it as "HSALNT0021891". Lineage: Eukaryota; Metazoa; Chordata; Mammalia; Primates; Hominidae. The record is from RNAcentral.